CCCUUAGACGUUCUGGGCCGCACGCGCGCUACACUGACGAAGGCAACGAGCUUUCCUUUACCGAAAGGUACGGGUAAUCUUUUGAAACUUCGUCGUGCUGGGGAUAGAUCCUUGCAAUUUUUGAUCUUAAACGAGGAAUGCCUAGUAAGCGCAAGUCAUCAACUUGCGUUGAUUACGUCCCUGCCCUUUGUACACACCGCCCGUCGCUACUACCGAUUGAAUGGUUUAGUGAGGCCUUCGGAUCCGCGACUCGUUUUGUGGAGAAGUUGGACAAACUCAGUCAUUUAGAGGAAGUAAAANUCGUANCA
Molecule: ribosomal RNA, 308 nt
Filed under: uncultured eukaryote
Lineage: Eukaryota
Description: partial 18S ribosomal RNA
Rfam family: Eukaryotic small subunit ribosomal RNA
Source: RNAcentral